This 581-nucleotide ribosomal RNA is filed under the name Myrmeleon cf. noacki AS-2013. RNAcentral describes it as "partial 18S ribosomal RNA". It matches the Rfam family "Eukaryotic small subunit ribosomal RNA", at positions 1038 to 1493 of the family's 1831-position model. Lineage: Eukaryota; Metazoa; Arthropoda; Insecta; Neuroptera; Myrmeleontidae. The record is from RNAcentral.
GAUGCCAGCUAGCGAUCCGCCAAAGUUCCUCCGAUGACUUGGUGGGCAGCUUCCGGGAAACCAAAGCAUUUGGGUUCCGGGGGAAGUAUGGUUGCAAAGCUGAAACUUAAAGGAAUUGACGGAAGGGCACCACCAGGAGUGGAGCCUGCGGCUUAAUUUGACUCAACACGGGAAACCUCACCAGGCCCGGACACCGGAAGGAUUGACAGAUUGAGAGCUCUUUCUUGAUUCGGUGGGUGGUGGUGCAUGGCCGUUCUUAGUUGGUGGAGCGAUUUGUCUGGUUAAUUCCGAUAACGAACGAGACUCUAGCCUACUAAAUAGACGUACUUUAUUACCGGCAUCUCAAGGCCCAUCGGCUGUAUUGUUACUGAAUGUUAUUUGUAUAUUUUGUUGAUAUAUAUUUAUAAUAUGUAUGAUUGAUAAUAUAUAUUUUUUUAUAAUUCAUAUUUUUUUUUCAAAAUUAAAAUUGGUUAUUUUUUAUAUAUGUAAUUAUUUAAUCUGCAUUAAUGAUAUACUUAAAACAUGAUACAUUAACUAAAGUGACAACAGUUUUUUGAUGUGGUUUUUACUGCCGGCGUACA